RNAcentral lists this ribosomal RNA (468 nucleotides) under uncultured bacterium. RNAcentral describes it as "partial 16S ribosomal RNA". It matches the Rfam family "Bacterial small subunit ribosomal RNA", at positions 28 to 507 of the family's 1533-position model. The record is from RNAcentral.
GACGAACGCUGGCGGCGUGCUUAACACAUGCAAGUCGAACGGAAAGGCCCUGCUUUUGUGGGGUGCUCGAGCGGCGAACGGGUGAGUAACACGUGAGUAACCUGCCCUUGACUUUGGGAUAACUUCAGGAAACUGGGGCUAAUACCGGAUAGGAGCUCCUGCUGCAUAGUGGGGGUUGGAAAGUUUCGGCGGUUGGGGAUGGACUCGCGGCUUAUCAGCUUGUUGGUGGGGUAGUGGCUUACCAAGGCUUUGACGGGUAGCCGGCCUGAGAGGGUGACCGGCCACAUUGGGACUGAGAUACGGCCCAGACUCCUACGGGAGGCAGCAGUGGGGAAUAUUGCACAAUGGGCGGAAGCCUGAUGCAGCAACGCCGCGUGCGGGAUGACGGCCUUCGGGUUGUAAACCGCUUUCGCCUGUGACGAAGCGUGAGUGACGGUAAUGGGUAAAGAAGCACCGGCUAACUACGUG